This 497-nucleotide ribosomal RNA is filed under the name uncultured bacterium. RNAcentral describes it as "partial 16S ribosomal RNA". It matches the Rfam family "Bacterial small subunit ribosomal RNA", at positions 28 to 507 of the family's 1533-position model. The record is from RNAcentral.
GAUGAACGCUGGCGGCGUGCCUAAUACAUGCAAGUCGAGCGAACGGACGAGAAGCUUGCUUCUCUGAUGUUAGCGGCGGACGGGCGAGUAACACGUGGAUAACCUACCUAUAUGACUGGGAUAACUUCGGGAAACCGGAGCUAAUACCGGAUAAAAUUUUGAACCGCAUGGUUCAAAAGUGAAAGACGGUCUUGCUGUCACUUAUAGAUGGAUCCGCGCUGCAUUAGCUAGUUGGUAAGGUAACGGGUUACCAAGGCAACGAUGCAUAGCCGACCUGAGAGGGUGAUCGGCCACACUGGAACGGAGACACGGUCCAUACUCCUACGGGAGGCAGCAGUAGGGAAUCGUCCGCAAUGGGCGAAAGCCUGACGGAGCAACGCCGCGUGAGUGAUGAAGGUCUUCGGAUCGUAAAACUCUGUUAUUAGGGAAGAACAUAUGUGUAAGUAACUGUGCACAUCUUGACGGUACCUAAUCAGAAAGCCACGGCUAACUACGUG